GAUGAACGCUGGCGGCGUGCUUAAUACAUGCAAGUCGAACGGAUGUUGUAGCAAUACGAUGUUAGUGGCGAAAGGGUGAGUAACGCGUUGGUGACCUGCCCCGAAGUGAGGGAUAACAGCUCGAAAGGGCUGCUAAUACCGCAUGAGAUCCACCUAGUUAGAGAGGGUGGAUGAAAGGAGAAAUCCGCUUUGGGAGGGGCCUGCGUCCAUCAGCUAGUUGGUGAGGUAAAAGCUCACCAAGGCGACGACGGGUAGGGGGCCUGAGAGGGUGACCCCCCACACUGGCACUGAAACACGGGCCAGACACCUACGGGUGGCAGCAGUAGGGAAUAUUGCACAAUGGGCGAAAGCCUGAUGCAGCAACGCCGCGUGCGCGAUGAAGGCCUUCGGGUUGUAAAGCGCUUUUCGGGGAGACGAGGAAGGACGGUAUCUCCGGAAUAAGGAUCGGCUAACUACGUGCCAGCAGCCGCGGUAAAACGUAGGAUCCGAGCGUUAUCCGAAUUCACUGGGCGUAAAGCGCCUACAGGCGGCACGGUAAGUUGGAUGUAAAAUCUCCCGGCUCAACUGGGAGAGGACGUUCAAUACUGUCGAGCUCGAGGGCGAUAGAGGGAGGUGGAAUACCCGGUGUAGUGGUGAAAUGCGUAGAUAUCGGGAGGAACACCAGUGGCGAAAGCGGCCUCCUGGAUCGUACCUGACGCUCAGACGCGAAAGCUAGGGGAGCAAACGGGAUUAGAAACCCCGGUAGUCCUAGCUGUAAACGAUGUAGACUUGGUGUUGGUGGUGUAAAAACCAUCGGUGCCGAAGCAAACGCGAUAAGUCUACCGCCUGGGGACUACGGCCGCUAGGUUAAAACUCAAAGGAAUUGACGGGGGCCCGCACAAGCAGCGGAGCGUGUGGUUUAAUUCGAUGUUACGCGAAAAACCUUACCCGGGUUUGACAUGUAGGUGGUAGGGAAACGAAAGUGGACCGACCCUUCGGGGAGCCUACACAGGUGUUGCAUGGCUGUCGUCAGCUCGUGUCGUGAGAUGUCCGGUUAAGUCCGGUAACGAGCGCAACCCGCGCCGUAUGUUACAAGUGUCAUACGGGACUGCUGGUAUAAAGCCGGAGGAAGGUGCGGACGACGUCAAGUCAGCAUGGCCUUUAUAUCCGGGGCUACACACACGCUACAAUGGCCAGUACAAUGGGUAGCAAAGCCGCAAGGUGGAGCCAAUCCCCAAAGCUGGUCUCAGUUCAGAUUGCAGGCUGCAACUCGCCUGCAUGAAGUCGGAGUUGCUAGUUACCGCGCGUCAGCAUUAGUGCGGUGAAUACGUUCCCGGGCCUUGUACACACCGCCCGUCACGUCAUGGGAGCUGGCAACACCUGAAGCCGGUAUCCUAACCGCAAGGAGGGAGCCGUCGAAGGUGGGGCUGGUGACUGGGACGAAGUCGUAGCAAGGUA
RNAcentral lists this ribosomal RNA (1437 nucleotides) under metagenome. Its description in RNAcentral is "bacterial SSU rRNA". It matches the Rfam family "Bacterial small subunit ribosomal RNA". The record is from RNAcentral.